GUGAACGCUGGCGGCAGGCCUAACACAUGCAAGUCGAGCGGCCGUAGCAAUACAGCAGCGGCAGACGGGAUAGUAACACGUGGGAACGUGCCCUUUGGUUCGGAAUAACUCGGCGAAAGCCGUGCUAAUACCGGAUAAGCCCUUACGGGGAAAGAUUUAUCGCCAUUGGAGCGGCCCGCGUCUGAUUAGCUUGUUGGUGAGGUAACGGCUCACCAAGGCGACGAUCAGUAGCUGGUCUGAGAGGAUGAUCAGCCACAUUGGGACUGAGACACGGCCCAAACUCCUACGGGAGGCAGCAGUGGGGAAUAUUGGACAAUGGGCGAAAGCCUGAUCCAGCCAUGCCGCGUGAGUGAUGAAGGCCCUAGGGUUGUAAAGCUCUUUUGUGCGGGAAGAUAAUGACGGUACCGCAAGAAUAAGCCCCGGCUAACUUCGU
This 433-nucleotide ribosomal RNA is filed under the name uncultured bacterium. Its description in RNAcentral is "bacterial SSU rRNA". It matches the Rfam family "Bacterial small subunit ribosomal RNA", at positions 29 to 506 of the family's 1533-position model. The record is from RNAcentral.